AGAGUUUGAUCAUGGCUCAGAUUGAACGCUGGCGGCAUGCUUUGCACAUGCAAGUCGAACGGUAGGGUAGCAAUACCUGAGAGUGGCGAACGGGUGAGUAAUGCAUCGGAACAUGCCUAUUUGUGGGGGAUAGCCCGGCGAAAGCCGGAUUAAUACCGCAUACGAUCUACGGAUGAAAGCUGGGGACCGCAAGGCCUAGCGCAAAUAGAGUGGCCGAUGUCAGAUUAGCUAGUUGGUGGGGUAAAGGCCCACCAAGGCAACGAUCUGUAGCUGGUUUGAGAGAACGACCAGCCACACUGGGACUGAGACACGGCCCAGACUCCUACGGGAGGCAGCAGUGGGGAAUUUUGGACAAUGGGCGCAAGCCUGAUCCAGCAAUGCCGCGUGCAGGAUGAAGGCCUUCGGGUUGUAAACUGCUUUUGUACGGAACGAAACGGCUCUGGUUAAUACCCGGGGCUAAUGACGG
Molecule: ribosomal RNA, 466 nt
Filed under: uncultured Malikia sp.
Lineage: Bacteria; Pseudomonadati; Pseudomonadota; Betaproteobacteria; Burkholderiales; Comamonadaceae
Description: bacterial SSU rRNA
Rfam family: Bacterial small subunit ribosomal RNA
Source: RNAcentral